Molecule: ribosomal RNA, 468 nt
Filed under: uncultured bacterium
Lineage: Bacteria
Description: partial 16S ribosomal RNA
Rfam family: Bacterial small subunit ribosomal RNA
Source: RNAcentral
GACGAACGCUGGCGGCGUGCUUAACACAUGCAAGUCGAACGGAAAGGCCCUGCUUUUGUGGGGUGCUCGAGUGGCGAACGGGUGAGUAACACGUGAGUAACCUGCCCUUGACUUUGGGAUAACUUCAGGAAACUGGGGCUAAUACCGGAUAGGAGCUCCUGCUGCAUGGUGGGGGUUGGAAAGUUUCGGCGGUUGGGGAUGGACUCGCGGCUUAUCAGCUUGUUGGUGGGGUAGUGGCUUACCAAGGCAUUGACGAGUAGCCGGCCUGAGAGGGUGACCGGCAACAUUGGGACUGAGAUACGGCCCAGACUCCUACGGGAGGCAGCAGUGGGGAAUAUUGCACAAUGGGCGGAAGCCUGAUGCAGCAACGCCGCGUGCGGGAUGACGGCCUUCGGGUUGUAAACCGCUUUCGCCUGUGACGAAGCGUGAGUGACGGUAAUGGGUAAAGAAGCACCGGCUAACUACGUG